Physeter macrocephalus (sperm whale) is the source of this 114-nucleotide small nucleolar RNA. Its record names the gene SNORA71. It matches the Rfam family "Small nucleolar RNA SNORA71". Rfam says of the family: The members of this family belong to the H/ACA class of snoRNAs which bind a number of proteins (including dyskerin, Gar1p and Nop10p) to form snoRNP complexes. This class of snoRNAs are thought to guide the sites of modification of uridines to pseudouridines by forming direct base pairing interactions with substrate RNAs. This family includes U71 (SNORA71), ACA39 (SNORA39) and ACA60 (SNORA60). Lineage: Eukaryota; Metazoa; Chordata; Mammalia; Artiodactyla; Physeteridae. The record is from Ensembl.
CCCUGCAUUCGGAAGUGAUCGUGGGCUGCCCGUGCCCUGGUCACUGGUAGUGCCGGUUUCCCCGUGUUUGGAGGGCUCACUCCUGUCCCUUCCCAACUCUGGAUCUGUCCCACA